Long non-coding RNA from Megalobrama amblycephala (Wuchang bream), 2382 nucleotides. RefSeq lists it as uncharacterized. NCBI's taxonomy places the organism in Eukaryota, Metazoa, Chordata, Actinopteri, Cypriniformes, Xenocyprididae. The record is from RefSeq and is a predicted model, not a curated record. The transcript is spliced from 3 exons.
GAUAAUUAUGGAAUGUCAUGGUGUUGACAUCAGAACCAGCGAGCAAGUCACACAGUCAUACUGGUUUGGAACAUCAUGAUGGCAGCGGGACCCUGAGGGAGUGAGAGAGUCCACAGCCCGACACACACUGAGAUAAAUUGCUCUCACUCCAGUGAGUGUUAUUCAUUGGUCAGAGGUUGGGAAGAAAAGCUUCUCAGGACCCAAAAGCACUGUGAAGGUACCACGGUACAGAAGUGCAGGCUGUUGGACAGUGUUAACCAAUAAUCAAAUAGUGGCUCCAUUGUGGUAAGUAUCAUCCACUUUUCACAAUCCAAUCCUCCCUAUGGAUGAAGUCAAAUCCUAUUUUGCAUUUUCACUUAAAAAUGUUACAUUACAGAAGUAAAAUUGUUUGAGAAUGACUAUUCAAGUUGAUUUUAAGAAGCUAAAUGGGAAUAUCCGCACACCGGCCUCCAGAACACAACAUGUUCUGGUGUUUUCAGCAGGGAUGGCGGCAUACGAUGGCCUGUCAGGUCAUUCACGGCACAGUGCACUGUAGACACUAAGCAACUGUCAACAUGUCUGAAUAUUUACAGAUCCCAGCUGAACAAAGUAACAUAUCAAAUAAAGCUAUGCUGAUAACAAAGGCAUGUGUCUGUCUGUGAGAUUUAUGGAUUCUGACCACUGUAAAGGGAUGUGGGGAUGUUUCUGUAGGGUGUACAGUAGAGAGUAAAAACUCUCAUUCUGACUAUACUAACCCCGAAAAGUGUCUACUUUGCUGGUGUUGUGAGCUUAGCAUCAUCAGCCUUUGGGUUUUUCACACCGGUUUGUUUUUCCAAAGAACCAAAGUGUCCACAAUGCGUUUGAACCUCAGUUAGAGCAGCCUGCAGUGAAUCAUUCAUAGAAUCACGUCACGUACACGCUCAGAGAUGUUCCUCGAUUCUUACAUAACGGGAUUGUUUUGUGUGAAGGAGCAGAGGGAAAUUCCCCCACAAGUUAUUAUCUAAGGGUUUAUGAUGAAAAGAUGUCCUAAAAUAAAUCCAGGGUAAAAUUAAUAUCCGAAAAAUGUAAAAAAGCUUUUUCUGCCUCCCCUGCUGAAAAGACAAAAGUCAACUAGGUAAACAGCAUGGUCUACACUUACAAAAAUGUACUGUCCCAUACUAAAGUGAUGAUGAUACAUGGUAAUAUAAUGUUACUUUCAAAUUACACACUGUACUAAAAUUAGUUUACCAUGCUAUUAACAUGGUACUCCAUGUCACCUAAUGACAUUACUGUACUGUACUACCAGCAUGGUAACAUUUUGUAAGUAACACUUACAAAAAAGUACCAUAGUACUAACAUGUUUUUUGGGCAUGCACCAUAGUAUUAUCGUUUAUUUUUUAAUUUAUUUUUUUAAAUUUUUUUUUAUUUUUUGACAUUUUUUUAGUACUAUGGUGUUCUUUGAAGCACCUUGCAAAUACAAUAGUACAUGACUUUAAGUACCGUGAUCAUGAUAUAUUUCAAACUACCAUGGUAUUACCACCCGAUGACAUUACUGUACUGUACCAUACUACCAGCACAGUAACAUUUUGGAAGUAACACUUCCAAAAAGGUACUAUAGUACAACCAUGUUUUUCAAACAUGCACCAUGGUAUUAGCAUAGUAUUGCCAUAGCAUCCCUUACGAAAAUUAACCAUGGUUUUGCUACACUAACCAUAAUUUACACAUUGUAUUUUGGUAAAACUGUGGUUAUACAAAUGGUAUUCAAUUUGCAAAAAAAAAAAAAAAAAAAACAUGGUUACUACAUUUUUACUAUAAUAAAACUAUGGUUAAUUUUCUUAAGAGAUUUUUGUAAGAGCUUUUGAGUCAGAUGUAAAUAACAUUAAUUUUAAUAUCAUAGUAUAUUUCUAAGUGUAAAACUGUACAAAAAAAGUACAGUGGCAGUACCAUGGUACUUGUCUUUACAUGGUACUCCAUGAUCACCAUGGUACUUUUUUGUAAGUGUUUGCUGGUACCAAUGCUAAACCAGCACUAACUAGCAUAAAGCAGUCUGGACUAAUAUAGAAAUUAUUUGCUGGUUGUCCUGAUUCCUCAAUAAAUAUGCUACAAUUAGUACAAAAUGCAGCUGCUAGAAUUCUUUCCAGGUCAAGAAAAUAUGAUCGUAUAUCACCAAUUUUAUCAUCUCUGCACUGGUUACCCAUUAAGUUCCGUAUCAAUUAUAAAGUAUUGCUAAUGACCUAUAAGGCUCUAAAUGGUUUAGCUCCUGUGUACUUAACUGAUCUUCUAUCGCCCUACAAUCCUUCACGGUCUUUAAAAGAUCACAAAAUUCUGGACUUCUGGUUGUACCUAGGAUAGCUAAGUCCACUAAAAGAGGGAGAGCGUUUUCACAUUUGGCUCCUAAACUCUGGAAUAGCCUUCCUGAUAAUG